This 141-nucleotide ribosomal RNA is filed under the name uncultured eukaryote. Its description in RNAcentral is "partial 18S ribosomal RNA". It matches the Rfam family "Eukaryotic small subunit ribosomal RNA", at positions 1299 to 1458 of the family's 1831-position model. The record is from RNAcentral.
UGGUGGAGUGAUUUGUCUGGUUAAUUCCGUUAACGAACGAGACCUUAGCCUGCUAAAUAGUGCGCGUUAUUCUUUGACUAGCGUGAUCACUUCUUAGAGGGACAAUUCGGGUUUACCGGAUGGAAGUUUAAGGCAAUAACA